RNAcentral lists this ribosomal RNA (502 nucleotides) under uncultured bacterium. Its description in RNAcentral is "partial 16S ribosomal RNA". It matches the Rfam family "Bacterial small subunit ribosomal RNA", at positions 28 to 523 of the family's 1533-position model. The record is from RNAcentral.
GAUGAACGCUAGCGGCAGGCUUAAUACAUGCAAGUCGAGGGGCAGCGCAGUGUAGCAAUACAUGGGCGGCGACCGGCAAACGGGUGCGGAACACGUACGCAACCUUCCUUUAAGUGGGGGAUAGCCCAGGGAAACUUGGAUUAAUACCCCGUAAUAUUAUGAAGUGGCAUCACUUUAUACUUAUAGCUCCGGCGCUUAAAGAUGGGCGUGCGACUGAUUAGGUAGUUGGCGGGGUAACGGCCCACCAAGCCUGCGAUCAGUAACUGGUGUGAGAGCACGACCAGUCACACGGGUACUGAGACACGGGCCCGACUCCUACGGGAGGCAGCAGUAAGGAAUAUUGGUCAAUGGACGCAAGUCUGAACCAGCCAUGCCGCGUGGAGGAUGAAGGUCCUCUGGAUUGUAAACUUCUUUUAUUUAGGAAGAAACCCACUGUUUCUAGGGUGGUUGACGGUACCAGAUGAAUAAGCACCGGCUAACUCCGUGCCAGCCGCCGCGGUAA